Non-coding RNA from Sturnus vulgaris (Common starling), 328 nucleotides. The record is from RefSeq and is a predicted model, not a curated record. Lineage: Eukaryota; Metazoa; Chordata; Aves; Passeriformes; Sturnidae.
UUUUUCAGUAGACUUAAAAUUAACUGUGCUGUUUUUUGUUGGUAUCAAUACUUUAAAUGAUUGAUUUAUGCCUAAGCAAGUGAAGUAAUGCUAUUUAUCAGAAGAAUAUGUAUUACAUCUUACUCUUCUAUAAACCUUUCAUUCUAGGACACUUCAUAUUGACACUUUGAGGACAUUAGCCUAGUACAACCAUGUGCUGCAUUUUUAUAAUAACCUGGUUAUCAUAACCGGGUGAGCUGGGAGUAGAGGAGAGCAAGGACAGUGACAGAUAUGGAUAGUGGAAGUCCUGACCCUUGGACACUGUUUCUGGCCAUGAGAUUCAGACACU